This 499-nucleotide ribosomal RNA is filed under the name uncultured bacterium. RNAcentral describes it as "bacterial SSU rRNA". It matches the Rfam family "Bacterial small subunit ribosomal RNA", at positions 24 to 518 of the family's 1533-position model. The record is from RNAcentral.
UCAGGAUGAACGCUAGCUACAGGCUAACACAUGCAAGUCAGGGGCAGCAUGAAGUUGCUGCAAACUUGAUGGCGACCGGCGCACGGGUGAGUAACGCGUAUCCAACCUGGCCCGCAGUAGGGAACAGCCCGGCGAAAGUCGGAUUAAUGCCCUAUGUCUCCUUUGCAGGCAUCCAAUGAGGAGAAAGAUUUAUCGCUGCGGGAUGGGGAUGCGUCUGAUUAGCUUGUCGGCGGGGUAACGGCCCACCGAGGCAACGAUCAGUAGGGGUUCUGAGAGGAAGGUCCCCCACACUGGUACUGAGACACGGACCAGACUCCGACGGGAGGCAGCAGUGAGGAAUAUUGGUCAAUGGGCGAGAGCCUGAACCAGCCAAGUAGCGUGCAAGGACGACUGCCCUAUGGGUUGUAAACUGCUUUUAUGCGGGGAUAAACUUCAGCACGUGUGCUGUUUUGCAGGUACCGCAUGAAUAAGGACCGGCUAAUUCCGUGCCAGCCGCCGC